Molecule: long non-coding RNA, 424 nt
Organism: Eucalyptus grandis
Lineage: Eukaryota; Viridiplantae; Streptophyta; Magnoliopsida; Myrtales; Myrtaceae
Exons: 2
Source: RefSeq, a predicted model, not a curated record
AAGCUAGAUGGGAUACUGACCUCCUAAGCAGUUUGGAGGACUGGGCAUUUGAAGACUGGAUUUAUGAAAUCUUCUUGUAUUUCAAAUUGUCUGUGGAGCAUUUCGUUGAGUUGUGGCCAAAGGAUCAGCCGCAAUACUUAAUUCUCAUUGGAAAUGCCUGCUGCUAGGUCUGAAGAGUUGGUUCCCAUACAAGCUGCAGUUUGGGGUGUGCUUUUGCUAGUUCCUCAGCUGCAAGCAAAGUUUUUUUUUGCACGGCUUCUUCAAAUGGUUGCCUUAACUUUUGUUGCAUGGGAUAUUGUCAGAAACAAGGAUGCUGAUGUUGACUGGCACAAACUUGGGUGGUUCUCCCCUAAUGUCCCAAGAUUUGGCUUUAUUUUUCGGUUAGUAAUACAUGAUAAACUUCCCACUGUUGAAAGGAUUAACA